CCUAAGGCGAGGCCGAAAGGCGUAGUCGAUGGGAAACGGGUUAAUAUUCCCGUACUUGGUGUUACUGCGAAGGGGGGACGGAGAAGGCUAUGUUGGCCGGGCGACGGUUGUCCCGGUUUAAGCGUGUAGGUGUGUGUUCCAGGUAAAUCCGGUUCACUUUAACACUGAGGCGUGACGACGAGGCACUACGGUGCUGAAGCAACAAAUGCCCUGCUUCCAGGAAAAGCCUCUAAGCAUCAGGUAACAUCAAAUCGUACCCCAAACCGACACAGGUGGUCAGGUAGAGAAUACCAAGGCGCUUGAGAGAACUCGGGUGAAGGAACUAGGCAAAAUGGUGCCGUAACUUCGGGAGAAGGCACGCUGACACGUAGGUGAAGUGAUUUACUCAUGGAGCUGAAGUCAGUCGAAGAUACCAGCUGGCUGCAACUGUUUAUUAAAAACACAGCACUGUGCAAACACGAAAGUGGACGUAUACGGUGUGACGCCUGCCCGGUGCCGGAAGGUUAAUUGAUGGGGUCAGCGCAAGCGAAGCUCCUGAUCGAAGCCCCGGUAAACGGCGGCCGUAACUAUAACGGUCCUAAGGUAGCGAAAUUCCUUGUCGGGUAAGUUCCGACCUGCACGAAUGGCGUAAUGAUGGCCAGGCUGUCUCCACCCGAGACUCAGUGAAAUUGAACUCGCUGUGAAGAUGCAGUGUACCCGCGGCAAGACGGAAAGACCCCGUGAACCUUUACUAUAGCUUGACACUGAACAUUGAGCCUUGAUGUGUAGGAUAGGUGGGAGGCUUUGAAGUGUGGACGCCAGUCUGCAUGGAGCCGACCUUGAAAUACCACCCUUUAAUGUUUGAUGUUCUAACGUGGACCCGUGAUCCGGGUUGCGGACAGUGUCUGGUGGGUAGUUUGACUGGGGCGGUCUCCUCCUAAAGAGUAACGGAGGAGCACGAAGGUUGGCUAAUCCUGGUCGGACAUCAGGAGGUUAGUGCAAUGGCAUAAGCCAGCUUGACUGCGAGCGUGACGGCGCGAGCAGGUGCGAAAGCAGGUCAUAGUGAUCCGGUGGUUCUGAAUGGAAGGGCCAUCGCUCAACGGAUAAAAGGUACUCCGGGGAUAACAGGCUGAUACCGCCCAAGAGUUCAUAUCGACGGCGGUGUUUGGCACCUCGAUGUCGGCUCAUCACAUCCUGGGGCUGAAGUAGGUCCCAAGGGUAUGGCUGUUCGCCAUUUAAAGUGGUACGCGAGCUGGGUUUAGAACGUCGUGAGACAGUUCGGUCCCUAUCUGCCGUGGGCGCUGGAGAACUGAGGGGGGCUGCUCCUAGUACGAGAGGACCGGAGUGGACGCAUCACUGGUGUUCGGGUUGUCAUGCCAAUGGCACUGCCCGGUAGCUAAAUGCGGAAGAGAUAAGUGCUGAAAGCAUCUAAGCACGAAACUUGCCCCGAG
This 1430-nucleotide ribosomal RNA is filed under the name Salmonella enterica. RNAcentral's name for it is "partial 23S ribosomal RNA". It matches the Rfam family "Bacterial large subunit ribosomal RNA", at positions 1390 to 2803 of the family's 2925-position model. The record is from RNAcentral. Lineage: Bacteria; Pseudomonadati; Pseudomonadota; Gammaproteobacteria; Enterobacterales; Enterobacteriaceae.